UACAGAGGUCCCGAGCGUUGUUCGGAUUCACUGGGCGUAAAGGGUGCGUAGGUGGUUGUGCAAGUCUGAUGUGAAAUCUCCGGGCUUAACCCGGAAAUGGCAUUGGAAACUGCAUGGCUAGAGGGUUGGAGGGGGGACUGGAAUACUUGGUGUAGCAGUGAAAUGCGUAGAUAUCAAGUGGAACACCAGUGGCGAAGGCGAGUCCCUGGACAACACCUGACACUGAGGCACGAAAGCUAGGGGAGCAAACAGG
This 253-nucleotide ribosomal RNA is filed under the name uncultured bacterium. RNAcentral describes it as "partial 16S ribosomal RNA". It matches the Rfam family "Bacterial small subunit ribosomal RNA", at positions 524 to 776 of the family's 1533-position model. RNAcentral also lists the same sequence under 1 other name. The record is from RNAcentral.